AUUAGAUACCCUGGUAGUCCGCGCGGUAAACGAUGGAUGCCCGCCGUUGGGUAUUUUUAUUCAGCGGCCAAGCGAAAGCGUUAAGCAUCCCACCUGGGGAGUACGCCGGCAACGGUGAAACUCAAAGGAAUUGACGGGGGCCCGCACAAGCGGAGGAACAUGUGGUUUAAUUCGAUGAUACGCGAGGAACCUUACCCGGGCUUGAAUUGCAGAUGACGGAUCCAGAGAUGGUGACUUCCUUCGGGACAUCUGUGAAGGUGCUGCAUGGUUGUCGUCAGCUCGUGCCGUGAGGUGUCGGCUUAAGUGCCAUAACGAGCGCAACCCCUUUCGUCAGUUGCCAUCGGGUAAUGCCGGGCACUCUGGCGACACUGCCGCCGCAAGGUGUGAGGAAGGUGGGGAUGACGUCAAAUCAGCACGGCCCUUACGUCCGGGGCUACACACGUGUUACAAUGGGGCAUACAGAGAGUUGGUCAUGCGCAAGCAUGAUCGGAUCAUGAAAGUGUCCCUCAGUUCGGACUGGGGUCUGCAACCCGACCCCACGAAGCUGGAUUCGCUAGUAAUCGCGCAUCAGCCAUGGCGCGGUGAAUACGUUCCCGGGCCUUGUACACACCGCCCGUCAAGCCAUGGAAGCCGGGAGUGCCUGAAGUGCGUGACCGCAAGAAGCGUCCUAAGGCAAUACCGGUGACUGGGGCUAAGUCGUAACAAGGUACC
Molecule: ribosomal RNA, 711 nt
Filed under: uncultured bacterium
Lineage: Bacteria
Description: bacterial SSU rRNA
Rfam family: Bacterial small subunit ribosomal RNA
Source: RNAcentral